RNAcentral lists this ribosomal RNA (229 nucleotides) under uncultured Thauera sp. Its description in RNAcentral is "partial 16S ribosomal RNA". It matches the Rfam family "Bacterial small subunit ribosomal RNA", at positions 1154 to 1382 of the family's 1533-position model. The record is from RNAcentral. Lineage: Bacteria; Pseudomonadati; Pseudomonadota; Betaproteobacteria; Rhodocyclales; Zoogloeaceae.
CGUGACAAACCGGAGGAAGGUGGGGAUGACGUCAAGUCCUCAUGGCCCUUAUGGGUAGGGCUUCACACGUCAUACAAUGGUCGGUACAGAGGGUUGCCAAGCCGCGAGGUGGAGCCAAUCCCUUAAAGCCGAUCGUAGUCCGGAUCGUAGUCUGCAACUCGACUACGUGAAGUUGGAAUCGCUAGUAAUCGCGGAUCAGCAUGCCGCGGUGAAUACGUUCCCGGGCCUU